GAUGAAGAACGUAGCGAAAUGCGAUAAGUAAUGUGAAUUGCAGAAUUCAGUGAAUCAUCGAAUCUUUGAACGCACCUUGCGCCCUUUGGACAUUCCGAAGGGCAUGCCUGUUUGAGUAUCAUGAACACCUCAACUCUCACGGCUUGUCCGUGAUGAGCUUGGACUUUGGGGGUCUUGCCGGCCUGUGGUCGGCUCCUCUCAAAUGGAUCAGCUUGCCAGUGUUUGGUGGCAUCACAGGUGUGAUAACUAUCUGCGCUUGUGGUUUUCCAUCAGAUAACCUUCAGUGAUAUGGAGGUUCGCUGGAGCUCACAAAUGUCCCUCCUUAGUGAGGACAGCUCUUUGAACGUUUGAUCUCAAAUCAGGUAGGACUACCCGCUGAACUUAAGCAUAUCAAUAAGCGGAGGA
This 405-nucleotide unclassified non-coding RNA is filed under the name soil metagenome. RNAcentral's name for it is "partial contains 5.8S ribosomal RNA, internal transcribed spacer 2, and large subunit ribosomal RNA". The stretch from base 1 to 121 matches the Rfam family "5.8S ribosomal RNA", at positions 35 to 154 of the family's 154-position model. The record is from RNAcentral.